This 253-nucleotide ribosomal RNA is filed under the name uncultured bacterium. Its description in RNAcentral is "partial 16S ribosomal RNA". It matches the Rfam family "Bacterial small subunit ribosomal RNA", at positions 524 to 776 of the family's 1533-position model. The record is from RNAcentral.
UACGUAGGGUGCAAGCGUUGUCCGGAUUUAUUGGGCGUAAAGAGCGUGUAGGCGGUUUGGUAGGUCCGCUGUGAAAACUCGAGGCUCAACCUCGAGACGCCGGUGGAAACCAUCAGGCUAGAGUCCGGAAGAGGAGAGUGGAAUUCCUGGUGUAGCGGUGAAAUGCGCAGAUAUCAGGAAGAACACCCGUGGCUAAGGCGGCUCUCUAGUACGGUACUGACGCUGAGACGCGAAAGCGUGGGGAGCGAACAGG